This 301-nucleotide ribosomal RNA is filed under the name uncultured bacterium. RNAcentral's name for it is "partial 16S ribosomal RNA". It matches the Rfam family "Bacterial small subunit ribosomal RNA", at positions 509 to 807 of the family's 1533-position model. The record is from RNAcentral.
CAGUCGCCGCGGUAAUACGUAGGUGGCAAGCGUUGUCCGGAAUUAUUGGGCGUAAAGGGCUCGCAGGCGGUUUCUUAAGUCUGAUGUGAAAGCCCCCGGCUCAACCGGGGAGGGUCAUUGGAAACUGGGAAACUUGAGUGCAGAAGAGGAGAGUGGAAUUCCACGUGUAGCGGUGAAAUGCGUAGAGAUGUGGAGGAACACCAGUGGCGAAGGCGGCUCACUGGCUCGAAACUGACGCUGAGGCACGAAAGCGUGGGGAGCAAACAGGAUUAGAUACCCCGGUAGUCCCUGUCUCUUAUAC